This 800-nucleotide ribosomal RNA is filed under the name uncultured bacterium. RNAcentral describes it as "bacterial SSU rRNA". It matches the Rfam family "Bacterial small subunit ribosomal RNA", at positions 8 to 762 of the family's 1533-position model. The record is from RNAcentral.
AGAGUUUGAUCAUGGCUCAGGAUGAACGCUGGCGGCAUGCCUAAGACAUGCAAGUCGAACGAAGUGGCCCAUUGAAGAUUGAGUGCUUGCACGAUAUUGGAUUUGGAUUCCCACUUAGUGGCGAAAGGGUGAGUAACACGUAAGAAUCUACCUUUGAGUCUGGGAUAACAUUUGGAAACGAUUGCUAAUACCGGAUUAUAUAUAUAAGGAUACGUCCUUAUAUAUUAAAAGGGGCCUUUAAAGCCUCGCUUGAAGAUGAGCUUGCGGCGUAUUAGCUAGUUGGUGGGGUAAUGGCCUACCAAGGCAACGAUGCGUAGCCGACCUGAGAGGGUGAUCGGCCACAUUGGGACUGAGACACGGCCCAAACUCCUACGGGAGACAGCAGUUAGGAAUAUUCGUCAAUGGGGGAAACCCUGAACGAGCAAUGCCGCGUGAGUGAUGAAGGUCUUUUGGAUUGUAAAACUCUGUUGUUAGGGAAGAACGACUUAAGUAGGAAAUGACUUAAGAGUGACUGUACCUUUCAAGAAAGCUCCGGCUAACUACGUGCCAGCAGCCGCGGUAAUACGUAGGGAGCGAGCGUUAUCCGGAUUUACUGGGUGUAAAGCGUGUGUAGGCGGUUUAUUAAGUCUAAGGUUUAAGCCUGGAGCUCAACUCCAGUUCGCCUUAGAAACUGAUUUACUUGAGUGCGGUAGAGGCAAGUGGAAUUUCUAGUGUAGCGGUUAAAUGCGUAGAUAUUAGAAGGAACACCAGUGGCGAAGGCGGCUUGCUGGGCCGUUACUGACGCUGAGACACGAAAGCGU